GUCAUCGUGAGGUGGGGUCUGGAGGAAGCCCAAUCCAAACAUGCGGGGCGACGAACAGGAACCAGAUAUGAGGUGUGGUACACCCGGAAUGAGCUGGCACGUGACAGCGAAGUUCUCCAUCCGCAGGGGUGUGCUUUAUAAAUCUGGCGCUUAUGCAUGGAAAGUCUUGUGU
This is a non-coding RNA of Deltaproteobacteria bacterium RBG_16_48_10, 172 nucleotides long. Lineage: Bacteria; Deltaproteobacteria. The record is from Rfam.